This 421-nucleotide ribosomal RNA is filed under the name uncultured bacterium. RNAcentral's name for it is "bacterial SSU rRNA". It matches the Rfam family "Bacterial small subunit ribosomal RNA", at positions 355 to 774 of the family's 1533-position model. The record is from RNAcentral.
UAAGGAAUAUUGGUCAAUGGACGCAAGUCUGAACCAGCCAUGCCGCGUGGAGGAUUAAGGCCCUCUGGGUUGUAAACUCCUUUUAUCUGGGAAGAAAUGUACUUUUUCUUGAGUACUUGACGGUACCAGAGGAAUAAGCACCGGCUAACUCCGUGCCAGCAGCCGCGGUAAUACGGAGGGUGCAAGCGUUAUCCGGAUUCACUGGGUUUAAAGGGUGCGUAGGUGGGCAGGUAAGUCAGUGGUGAAAUCUCCGGGCUUAACCCGGAAACUGCCGUUGAUACUAUUUGUCUUGAAUAUUGUGGAGGUAAGCGGAAUAUGUCAUGUAGCGGUGAAAUGCUUAGAUAUGACAUAGAACACCAAUUGCGAAGGCAGCUUACUACACAAUCAUUGACGCUGAGGCACGAAAGCGUGGGAUCAAACA